RNAcentral lists this unclassified non-coding RNA (336 nucleotides) under soil metagenome. Its description in RNAcentral is "partial contains 5.8S ribosomal RNA, internal transcribed spacer 2, and large subunit ribosomal RNA". The stretch from base 1 to 120 matches the Rfam family "5.8S ribosomal RNA", at positions 35 to 154 of the family's 154-position model. The record is from RNAcentral.
GAUGAAGAACGUAGCGAAAUGCGAUAAGUAAUGUGAAUUGCAGAAUUCAGUGAAUCAUCGAAUCUUUGAACGCACAUUGCGCCCGCCAGUAUUCUGGCGGGCAUGCCUGUUCGAGCGUCAUUUCAACCAUCAAGCCCCCGGCUUGUGUUGGGGACCUGCGGCUGCCCGCAGGCCCUGAAAACCAGUGGCGGGCUCGCUGUCACUCCGAGCGUAGUAGCAUAUAUCUCGCUCAGGGCGUGCUGCGGGUUCCGGCCGUUAAAAGCCUUUUUUUACCCAAGGUUGACCUCGGAUCAGGUAGGAAGACCCGCUGAACUUAAGCAUAUCAAUAAGGGAGGA